AUGCAAGUCGAACGAUGAAGCCCAGCUUGCUGGGUGGAUUAGUGGCGAAUGGGUGAGUAACACGUGAGUAACCUGCCCUUAACUCUGGGAUAAGCCUGGGAAACUGGGUCUAAUACCGGAUAGGAGCGUCCACCGCAUGGUGGGUGUUGGAAAGAUUUAUCGGUUUUGGAUGGACUCGCGGCCUAUCAACUUGUUGGUGAGGUAAUGGCUCACCAAGGCGACGACGGGUAGCCGGCCUGAGAGGGUGACCGGCCACACUGGGACUGAGACACGGCCCAGACUCCUACGGGAGGCAGCAGUGGGGAAUAUUGCACAAUGGGCGAAAGCCUGAUGCAGCGACGCCGCGUGAGGGAUGACGGCCUUCGGGUUGUAAACCUCUUUCAGUAGGGAAGAAGCGAAAGUGACGGUACCUGCAGAAGAAGCACCGGCUAACUACGUGCCAGCAGCCGCGGUAAUACGUAGGGUGCGAGCGUUAUCCGGAAUUAUUGGGCGUAAAGAGCUCGUAGGCGGUUUGUCGCGUCUGUCGUGAAAGUCCGGGGCUUAACCCCGGAUCUGCGGUGGGUACGGGCAGACUAGAGUGCAGUAGGGGAGACUGGAAUUCCUGGUGUAGCGGUGGAAUGCGCAGAUAUCAGGAGGAACACCGAUGGCGAAGGCAGGUCUCUGGGCUGUAACUGACGCUGAGGAGCGAAAGCAUGGGGAGCGAACAGGAUUAGAUACCCUGGUAGUCCAUGCCGUAAACGUUGGGCACUAGGUGUGGGGACCAUUCCACGGUUUCCGCGCCGCAGCUAACGCAUUAAGUGCCCCGCCUGGGGAGUACGGCCGCAAGGCUAAAACUCAAAGGAAUUGACGGNGGCCCGCACAAGCGGCGGAGCAUGCGGAUUA
RNAcentral lists this ribosomal RNA (882 nucleotides) under Micrococcus luteus. RNAcentral's name for it is "bacterial SSU rRNA". It matches the Rfam family "Bacterial small subunit ribosomal RNA", at positions 55 to 948 of the family's 1533-position model. Lineage: Bacteria; Bacillati; Actinomycetota; Actinomycetes; Micrococcales; Micrococcaceae. The record is from RNAcentral.